Corythoichthys intestinalis (scribbled pipefish) is the source of this 2167-nucleotide long non-coding RNA. RefSeq lists it as uncharacterized. NCBI's taxonomy places the organism in Eukaryota, Metazoa, Chordata, Actinopteri, Syngnathiformes, Syngnathidae. The transcript is spliced from 3 exons. The record is from RefSeq and is a predicted model, not a curated record.
UAGAGCGUCAUCCUCCAGCCUUUGUGUCGUUGGACGUGCGUGCGUGCGUGCGUGACGUAGUCAAGCUUGUGUGUCUGUCACAGAGCGAAAGAGGCUUGCGUCGUAUUAAAUUCUCCUCUGAAGUUUAUCUGGCUGAUCUUCUAUCUGGACCUGAGAGAUGAAGAAGGCACAAUCGCUCCUUUUCCAAGCGUUGACCGUGCUUGGCAUUUGGGCUUCGCUUGGUGAGUUCACGUUUUUAUUUGACUUCAAGGUGCCUCACUGCAAACGUUGUUGGGACUGGAUUUGUUUCUUCAGAUCAUUAGGGGAUCAAUAUAAAAGGGCAUUUUAUUGGCCCCACCUCGGGGAAAUGUAUACUUGUCAGAUUACUAGACAUAUUAAGCAAACUGUCAGUCUCAUUUGAAACAAUGGAAACAAUACGUUAUACAUCCGCGGUUUUGAGACACUUUCUGAUCCGACUGUGAACUUUUGAAAAAAGGGUGUAGUAAAGCCUAUUUAAAACUAACGACUGACUUUAAGCAUUGAUAUGCCACUCAUUUAACUCACUGACCGCCACUGACUGAAAACCUGAAACAUUCACUUCGGUUUGCCUUGGAAGGCUGCAAAUGGAUUGGACGUCUAGCACCGUCAUUGGCACAGAAACGUGAGAAUCCAUAGCCAGUCCUCCCAGUUAAGAAUAAGCGCACUUCUGUUGUUGUCAGUAGUAAGCUAAACGAACCAAAAUUAUACAUUAAUACAAAUGUAUAUAUAUAACUAUUUUAAAACUAUUAAAAUUAUUAUGAAUUAAAAAAAAAUAACACUAAAUAUUACUAUUAAAUUGUAUAAUAAUAAUUUUAAUUUAAUAAUAAUAAAUUUAAUAAAUUCAUAAUAAUUUAUUUUUUAAUUUAAUUUUAUAGUAUUAUAUAAUACUAUAUUAUUAUUAGUAGUAGUAUUACUAAAUAUAAUAACACUAAAUAUAUAAUACUAAGUAUUGACUAAUGGCAGUUAAAUACUCUUGUAGUUUAGUUUUGGUUAGUUUUAGUUUUACACUAAAGGGUCAUAGUAUUUACCUAUGAUAUAAAUAAAUAUCUACUUUUUUUAAUUCCAUUAUAAUCUUAAUGAUUUUUUAAUCAAUAAAUUAUCAAUAAACCCAAUAGAUUUGUAUUAAUGUAUAAUUGUAUUUUUUCAUAUAUAAAUAAAAUUAACAUUAAAAAAUAAAAAAUAAAUACAUAUAUGUUACAGUUCUACAUGGACUGAGGUUUUCAAUGCAACGCUUCACAUUCCAGGUGUUUUGUUUCACAUUGCGAGAUGGAUAAUUUUGUAUGUGGUGCUUGUGUGUGUGUUUUGUCAUAAUGUAUCAAACGUAGGAAGAGAAUGUCCAAAAGACAUGUGCUUCAACACAACAGAAAACUUAGCUCCAAAACCAUUGUCUGUGAUCUCAAUUGAUCUGGAUCAUGAAUACAUAUAGGUUGAGGUGCUGGAGGGGGAGGGAUAAUUGAACUUUUAAUGACCGAAGGGAAAACAAACAACAACAAAAAACCUGCAGUUGAACACAAUCUUGAUGACUUUUACAAUUGUUGUUACAAUAUGAUUAACACCCCCCACCAACACAAACCUAUAUAAAGACAAACCGAACACUUUAAAAUGCAACUUUUUUUCACCUCGACCUAUAACCUUACUCACCUUGUCUUCACUGAUGCAAAAGCAUCUAUUGCACUUUCAUAUGACAGUUGUUUUGGAAGGGCACUUCUUUCCUGGACUUGGUGGGCUUGGACUUGGUGCUGAUGUGGAUAAGUUCGCUGUAAAAUGACACAUUUCAAAGACAACCCUAUGCUGAGAGCUACAAACUCUUUUGUGAACAAGUGAUCCGUCAAAGGAUUAUCGUUGACAAAGAAGUGCUCAGAAUGGACAAGCCAAGAAGGUUGUUCGUGAACAUCGUGAAGAACCAUGAGGAUCUUGAUGCUUCAGACUACAGGCGGGAUAUGCUGAAAAGAAGAUUGAAGUGUGAUUUCCCCCAAUUAGUUUUUUAUGGGGAGAGAUUUGUCUCAAAAAUAUUCUCACAAAUGCUUUCGCGAUUCACACAUAUCUUUUGUAGAUGCACAAAUAUAUCAGAGAUUUUCACAUGUAUUUUCGAGAUCCACAAAUAUAUCCAUGAGUUUCACAUGUGUUUUUGUAAUUCACAAGUAUAUCC